This 371-nucleotide ribosomal RNA is filed under the name uncultured bacterium. Its description in RNAcentral is "bacterial SSU rRNA". It matches the Rfam family "Bacterial small subunit ribosomal RNA", at positions 523 to 898 of the family's 1533-position model. The record is from RNAcentral.
AUACGGAGGAUCCAAGCGUUAUCCGGAAUCAUUGGGUUUAAAGGGUCCGUAGGCGGGUCUGUAAGUCAGUGGUGAAAUCUCCCGGCUCAACCGGGAAAUUGCCAUUGAUACUGCAGGUCUUGAAUUAUUGGGAAGUAACUAGAAUAUGUAGUGUAGCGGUGAAAUGCUUAGAGAUUACAUGGAAUACCAAUUGCGAAGGCAGGUUACUAUCAAUAUAUUGACGCUGAUGGACGAAAGCGUGGGUAGCGAACAGGAUUAGAUACCCUGGUAGUCCACGCCGUAAACGAUGGAUACUAGCUGUUGGGAGCAAUCUCAGUGGCUAAGCGAAAGUGAUAAGUAUCCCACCUGGGGAGUACGUUCGCAAGAAUGAA